CAUGCCGUAAACGAUGAGUGCUAAGUGUUAGGGGGUUUCCGCCCCUUAGUGCUGCAGCUAACGCAUUAAGUUUUCCGCCUGGGGAGUACGCUCGCAAGAGUGAAACUUAAAGGAAUUGACGGGGGCCCGCACAAGCAGUGGAGCAUGUGGUUUAAUUCGACGCUACGCGAAGAACCUUACCAGGACUUGACAUGGAAUUUAAAACUCUAGAGAUAGAGCCAUAACAAGUUCACACAGGUGG
This 241-nucleotide ribosomal RNA is filed under the name uncultured bacterium. Its description in RNAcentral is "partial 16S ribosomal RNA". It matches the Rfam family "Bacterial small subunit ribosomal RNA", at positions 796 to 1041 of the family's 1533-position model. The record is from RNAcentral.